GACAGAGGAUGCAAGCGUUAUCCGGAAUGAUUGGGCGUAAAGCGUCUGUAGGUGGCUUUUUAAGUCUGCCGUCAAAUCCCAGGGCUUAACCCUGGACAGGCGGUGGAAACUACCAAGCUGGAGUACGGUAGGGGCAGGGGGAAUUUCCGGUGGAGCGGUGAGAUGCGUAGAGAUCGGAAAGAACACCAACGGCGAAAGCACUCUGCUGGGCCGACACUGACACUGAGAGACGAAAGCUAGGGGAGCGAAUGGG
RNAcentral lists this ribosomal RNA (253 nucleotides) under uncultured bacterium. Its description in RNAcentral is "partial 16S ribosomal RNA". It matches the Rfam family "Bacterial small subunit ribosomal RNA", at positions 524 to 776 of the family's 1533-position model. The record is from RNAcentral.